This 1878-nucleotide ribosomal RNA is filed under the name Triticum aestivum (bread wheat). RNAcentral's name for it is "partial small subunit ribosomal RNA". Lineage: Eukaryota; Viridiplantae; Streptophyta; Magnoliopsida; Poales; Poaceae. The record is from RNAcentral.
AUGGAAUCAGCAUCGGAGAGGACUGGCGCUAUGGAUUCACCGGAGCCAAGAAUCGAGACCAUUCCUAUGAAGGAUGAGAAAACUGUUAAACCCACCAUUUCACUUGAUUCAAGUGUUAUCAAUCUACCAAGUGAAGGACAAGUCCAGGCGGUCACAUCCAACAUAGGUGGGGAACAUAGUGCUGCAUAUCCACAACACAUUUAUUCAUCGCAAGCAGAACCAUUCUAUUACCAAGGUACAGGAUAUGAGAACCUUCCAAAUGAAUGCGAUGUAUAUCCUCCCUAUACGAGUGUUGAUGGAUUGGAAGUGGGUCCAGCGGUUAUGUACAACGAGGAACCUUCCAUGAUGUACCAUGGUGGCUAUGGUUAUGACCCUUAUGCUCAUUAUUCUCCUAUCUCGACACCAGUACCGGCUGGUGUUAGUGGAGAUGGUCAGCUCUACUCUCCUCAGCAGUUCUCCUCGGCUCCUUACUACCAGCAACCAUUACAGCCUGACAUGCCAUAUUUAGGCUCUCCUACUCCCGUAUCACAGGGUGAGACAAUGAUGCCAAUUGACCCAACACAAAGUGCUUUUAUCGCUGACACUCUGAGUCCAAACAGCUUCCUUUUUGGACCAAGACCAGAAUGGUUUAGAUCGUCACAAGGAACUGGUUCGUUUCUAUCACCUGCAACUUCACCUCAACCUUUUGGUGAUGUUUCAGGGGCAUUCGGACAAAGCAACUUUCCUAUGGCUUCUGGGAUGAUGCCCCCUCAGCAGAAGUCCUUCUAUGGUUUUGGAACCCCUAGUGACUCUUACGGAAGAAGGUUCUCUCAUCGUGGGAGUUUCCCACAUGCCACUAAUUAUGGCAGUCCUUUCCCUGGCUAUGGCCUGAAUGGUAGAAGUUUGAAUCCAGUUGACAAAGAGCGCAGGAGAGGGAGGGGUAAUGCUUUGUUAUGCAGCUUUGUUGGUUCACUUGAUUUCCUCAAUGAGCAAAGCCGUGGUCCACGUUCCACCAGGCCUAAGAAGCAACGAGAGGAUAACAGUAAAGAUGAGAAGUCUUCUGCUGGACUUGACCAGGGGUCAUACAACAGGACUGAUUUUGUUACAGAGUACAAAAAUGCUAGAUUUUUUAUCAUAAAAUCAUACAGCGAAGAUAAUGUGCACAAGAGCAUCAAAUAUGGUGUUUGGGCUAGCACCACAAAUGGAAACAAGAAACUAGACGGGGCCUAUCAUGAAGUAAAGAAGGAAGAACACUGUCCCAUUUUUCUGUUGUUUUCGGUGAACGCUAGCGCACAGUUCUGCGGUGUUGCGGAGAUGACUGGACCAGUGAAUUUUGAGAAGAGUGUGGACUACUGGCAGCAAGAUAAGUGGACUGGCCAGUUCCCUGUUAAUUGGCACAUACUGAAGGAUGUUCCAAAUAAUCUCUUCCGCCAUAUAAUUCUUGAAAACAAUGAGCACAAGCCGGUAACCAACAGCCGGGACACACAAGAGGUGAAACUGGAACAAGGACAGGAGAUGCUGAAAAUCUUCAAGGACCAUGAGGAGGAUGCGUCGAUCCUCGAUGACUUUAACUUUUACGAGGAACGUGAGAAAGCCCUGCUGGAGAAUAAGGCAAGGCUGUAUCAGCAACAACAGAUAUCCAGCUCCACUGUUGCUGAGCCCAAGAAGCCGUCGACUGUACCAACUGACCUGGUGGGUCAUAUCGCCAAGAAUUGUAGCUUUAUUGAGCCCAAGAAGCCCUUGACUGUACCCACUGACAUGGUGGGUCAUAUCACCAAGACUUUUGCACAGGCUGUUCGGCUUGGCAAGGCCAAGAGUGUGAGCCCUCUGGGCAAGAAAGGCCCUGCUGGGGAUUUAUCUGUUGCUGCGAAGCCUGUCGAGGUCAGAGAGAGCGACUAG